Lutra lutra (Eurasian river otter) is the source of this 406-nucleotide long non-coding RNA. RefSeq lists it as uncharacterized. The transcript has 3 exons. NCBI's taxonomy places the organism in Eukaryota, Metazoa, Chordata, Mammalia, Carnivora, Mustelidae. The record is from RefSeq and is a predicted model, not a curated record.
GGAAACAGACCCUGCUCCUGCUGAACUUCCAGAUGUGACUACGGAUGUUGGGCCAACACCGCCAUUGUCAUCUUGUCGGUUACGCCAAAGCAGAGGACCCAGGGAAUAGAAACCACUCAGAACCUCCAGUUCUACAUCUCCAGAGUCAUCUUCCAAUCAGUACCAGGGACCCAGUGGACAUUACCAAUUUACUAGGACUUUCUGACUACAUAAGCUCAGAAUCUUUUCAUGACAUCUGUUCAAAUGUCACUCCAGGCAAAGUCUAUGAACGUAUCCCUUGAAUCUGGGCCUUGCGACUUGCCCUUGUUCAACAGAAUGUUGCAGACAUGAUAUCGUGCCCGUUCCAAGCUUGGGUCUCAAGAUGUUCUUGGCUUUUGCUUGCUCACUUGGACCCUCUGCCCAGGUG